Long non-coding RNA from Mercurialis annua (annual mercury), 991 nucleotides. RefSeq lists it as uncharacterized. The record is from RefSeq and is a predicted model, not a curated record. NCBI's taxonomy places the organism in Eukaryota, Viridiplantae, Streptophyta, Magnoliopsida, Malpighiales, Euphorbiaceae. The transcript is spliced from 6 exons.
GCUAUAGUAUAUAUACCAUCUUUAAAACCUAACCCUAAUUCAGCUAUUCCCACUGCCGUUUCUCACUCUUCAAUUUUCACUCACACCCAUCUUUCCUCUCCUUUAAUCUCUUCUCAAUAUCAAAAAUCAUUAAUCUUAUUUUUUUCUCUUCAUUUUUUCAAAUUACUCCAUCUAAACACAGACUCAGUAAUCUAAAAAAAUUGAUACAUCUUCUUCUCUUAAUAAUCUAAACGGCUGCACAUCUUUUGCGGUUAGUAGCUCAAGCAAAUAAGUUCCUCCUCUUUUUCGGAGCAAUAUUUUCGAUCUCUUGCGCGUACAAUAGAUCCGGCGAUGCAAUCCGAUCGAGACGUGCACCUUGGACGGAAAUUUGUACAGGACUAAUGAGCUCGGAAAAAAAAAAGGAACAACAUUCAACCAAAAGUUAGCUGAAUGGCAGGGUUAUGGAAAGUGUAAAGGAGUGCACUGAUUUCACUAAAGGAAAGGUCGUCCUUAAUUCACGGUGGUCAAAGGUUAUAUAAAAUGCAAUAACGUGAGGAAAUAAAUGCACAAGUACGCAUGACAAUAAUUCACGGUCUAUAAAGAAGGAGCGAUUUUUUUUUGUUUCAGAAAAGGAAAGGUCGUCCGGGAUCCACGGUGGCUAAAGAGCAGGUUCUGUGGAAGCUAAUAAUGUGGGGAAAUAAAUGCACAACUACCGUGGCAAAUAAUUCACGAUUUGUUUGAACGUACCAAGACUUUUCUUUGAAGUAAAGCAUCACAAGAAAACGAACAACAUCCUGCAAAUUGAGUUUUCCAAGGAGCAAAUUAUUCAAGAAAAUAUAUAGUGUUUGAAAGGUGUUGUGGUGUAAGCACUGAAAUAUGUCUCUGAUGAGACAUGAGAGUUGAAAAUAUUAAUUGCAUACAAAUAAGGUCCUACAUAUGAAAACAAUAGCAAUAAUAUGUAAAGAAAUAUAAAUGCAGUCUUGUUAUUUGUGCUGCGAAAAAGCAAAUCAAA